GCUGCAGCUCUUGCAUAUCCCAACACGUGGAAGUAGCUUCACAAAUUACUAAAAUGAACUUUAAGCAUUUCCCCUCCUUCACCAAAAGUCUAUUUGUAUACACUUGUUUCAAAAUAAGGCUUUGCAAAUCAGCUCAGCAUGGUGUCCAGGUUCUUUGUAAUCUCAACAUGGUGUCAGAGUGGAGAAUAACUAUUGGGCACUGCAAACUUCAUUAUGGAAAGAGGGAGAACAGAAUCAAAUCUCCUAACUCUGCAGAGCAACCAACUACUGCUCCUGUUUCUGUAUAAGACAGCUCCAGCCACCUUUCAUCCUUCAGCUGAAUAGGUUUGGUCUACUUCAAGGCAGAGAUAAACCUGCAAAGCUCAGAAAUGCAGAUUGUCUUGAGAACACAAGAAGAAAGAAUUCAUUUCCGAUAACAAACUACAGCAUGCAAGAGACGGCUCUCAAUCUCCUGAAUCUCAGCUCUGGCAAACAAACAAUUGUCCUGAGUGAUCAGAUUUUCCUGACACAAGUUAAUUGACACUUUUGAGAGGCCUGAUGGAUAUUGCUUUUUUUGAAAGAACUUUAUGUCCAGAUCCAAGAAAUCAAAUGACUAUAAGAACUUAGCUUUUUGGACAUGGCUUCAUGCAAAGUUGUGCUCAUCCUAGGAUUUUCUGCCUGGCUGCGUACCAAGAAGGAAGGAGCUCCCUCUGAUAGACAAGAGAAUGUCUGCGGCUUCUGCCACAGGGCGAAUAAGCUGGGACUACUGUCUAUUUCUAUCUGCAAACUGGCAUGCCCUUUUGAAGCCUUGAUUGCUCUGCACUCUAGCCUCGGACCCAAGCAACGCUCACUUCCAUGUGCCAUGACUGGAGCUGGAAGAUACCUUCCUGGAAGAUACCUUCCUUCCAGGAAGGAUAUGCCUUCCUGGAAGACACCACUCAGCCUUUGCCCCCUCACCCCUUUCCCCUACUAAACUCUGGCGUUCUGCCACCCUGCUCCAAAGCAACCCCACCCCCUUCUCUUCUUUCCAUUCUCUCUAUCCUUUGUUAGGUUUUGCUAGUCAGCUUAAACACUGAAACCACAUGCAGCCAACAUAUUCAUUAGUUAGGAAUAUAUGCACUACACUGUGCAAAGCAACAUGAUUGACCUGAUUGAAUUACUUGAUCAGCAUUACCAAUUUGCCUUAAUAAAGCCCAUUAAACU
Long non-coding RNA from Hemicordylus capensis (graceful crag lizard), 1182 nucleotides. RefSeq lists it as uncharacterized. The transcript is spliced from 3 exons. The record is from RefSeq and is a predicted model, not a curated record. Lineage: Eukaryota; Metazoa; Chordata; Lepidosauria; Squamata; Cordylidae.